This 253-nucleotide ribosomal RNA is filed under the name uncultured bacterium. RNAcentral describes it as "partial 16S ribosomal RNA". It matches the Rfam family "Bacterial small subunit ribosomal RNA", at positions 524 to 776 of the family's 1533-position model. The record is from RNAcentral.
UACAGAGGUGGCAAGCGUUGUUCGGAAUUACUGGGCGUAAAGGGCGAGUAGGUGGCCAUCUAAGUCAGACGUGAAAUCCCCCGGCUUAACCUGGGAACUGCGUCUAAUACUGGACGGCUUGAGUAUGGGAGAGGAACGUAGAAUUCCAGGUGUAGCGGUGAAAUGCGUAGAUAUCUGGAGGAAUACCGGUGGCGAAGGCGGCGUUCUGGACCAUUACUGACACUGAAUCGCGAAAGCUAGGGGAGCAAACGGG